Molecule: transfer RNA, 70 nt
Filed under: Chryseobacterium polytrichastri
Lineage: Bacteria; Pseudomonadati; Bacteroidota; Flavobacteriia; Flavobacteriales; Weeksellaceae
Also listed under: 1 other name
Description: tRNA_Ser_GCT
Rfam family: tRNA
About the family: Transfer RNA (tRNA) molecules are approximately 80 nucleotides in length.
Source: RNAcentral
GAGAUAAUAGUAGUAAUGGAAAAAUACGUUUUGCUAAGACGAGUUGCAAGUUCGAAUCCUGCUUAUCUCC